ACAUGCACAGUUAAGGGCAACUCCUAGCUCGUCGCUCGUAAACAAGUGCAAAGCUGGGUUUUAAAGAUAACACCAGUUCCAGGAAUCCUUGAAGGUCCCAGCAUUGACAAUCACUUCUACCUGCUGUGAGAGGGAAGAUACGACAAGCAGGGCGACAUUGUGGUGCGGUGCACAGGCAAAAAGGUAUCUGCAGAGUGGAGAGUUGCAUUGGUGAUGGCACAUGAUGGGACCAGGAUUAAUCAUGAGAGACAUCAUUGGGGAUAUGCCUCUGAUGCUGCAGAAAAAAGAAAAUAAUUUGCCUACCCCUGACUAUUCUGCAUUUCAAGGGACCUGUUCAAAUGCAAGUACAGCUCUACAUUUCUGAAGAAGCCUGAUUGGAAUCUCCUGUCAGAAAUAAAGUGCUCUUUUGUUUCUUAAAAAAAA
Rhincodon typus (whale shark) is the source of this 423-nucleotide long non-coding RNA. RefSeq lists it as uncharacterized. The record is from RefSeq and is a predicted model, not a curated record. The transcript has 3 exons. Lineage: Eukaryota; Metazoa; Chordata; Chondrichthyes; Orectolobiformes; Rhincodontidae.